RNAcentral lists this ribosomal RNA (619 nucleotides) under uncultured bacterium. RNAcentral describes it as "bacterial SSU rRNA". The stretch from base 1 to 552 matches the Rfam family "Bacterial small subunit ribosomal RNA", at positions 338 to 873 of the family's 1533-position model. The record is from RNAcentral.
CCUACGGGAGGCAGCAGUGGGGAAUUUUGGACAAUGGGCGAAAGCCUGAUCCAGCAAUGCCGCGUGAGUGAAGAAGGCCUUCGGGUUGUAAAGCUCUUUUGUCAGGGAAGAAACGGUGCGGGCUAAUAUCCUGCACUAAUGACGGUACCUGAAGAAUAAGCACCGGCUAACUACGUGCCAGCAGCCGCGGUAAUACGUAGGGUGCAAGCGUUAAUCGGAAUUACUGGGCGUAAAGCGUGCGCAGGCGGUUUUGUAAGUCUGUCGUGAAAUCCCCGGGCUCAACCUGGGAAUUGCGAUGGAGACUGCAAGGCUAGAAUCUGGCAGAGGGGGGUAGAAUUCCACGUGUAGCAGUGAAAUGCGUAGAGAUGUGGAGGAACACCGAUGGCGAAGGCAGCCCCCUGGGUCAAGAUUGACGCUCAUGCACGAAAGCGUGGGGAGCAAACAGGAUUAGAUACCCUGGUAGUCCACGCCCUAAACGAUGUCUACUAGUUGUCGGGUUUUAAUUAACUUGGUAACGCAGCUAAGCGNGAGAGACGCGCGGNGGAGGUCGUCGAGAGUAAGUAACGAACGAAGUAGUAGACGNGNGAGAGACGACGACGACGACGACGGAGGGAGGAGG